UACGGGGGGGGCAAGCGUUGUUCGGAAUUACUGGGCGUAAAGGGCUCGUAGGUGGCCAACUAAGUCAGACGUGAAAUCCCUCAGCUUAACUGGGGAACUGCGUCUGAUACUGGAUGGCUUGAGUUUGGGAGAGGGAUGCGGAAUUCCAGGUGUAGCGGUGAAAUGCGUAGAGAUCGGGAAGAACAUCGGUGGCGAAGGCGGCCUGCUGGGCUCUUGCUGACACUGAUGCGCGACAGCGUGGGGAGCAAACAGG
RNAcentral lists this ribosomal RNA (253 nucleotides) under uncultured bacterium. Its description in RNAcentral is "partial 16S ribosomal RNA". It matches the Rfam family "Bacterial small subunit ribosomal RNA", at positions 524 to 776 of the family's 1533-position model. The record is from RNAcentral.